GGGCCCGCACAAGCGGUGGAGCAUGUGGUUUAAUUCGAUGAUACGCGAGGAACCUUACCUAGGCUUAAAUGUAGAUUGACGUAUUGGGAAACCAGUAUUUCUUCGGACAAUCUACAAGGUGCUGCAUGGUUGUCGUCAGCUCGUGCCGUGAGGUGUCGGGUUAAGUCCCAUAACGAGCGCAACCCCUAUCAUUAGUUGCUAACAUUUAGUUGAGGACUCUAAUGAAACUGCCCGCGUAAGCGGUGAGGAAGGUGGGGAUGACGUCAAAUCAUCACGGCCCUUACGUCUAGGGCUACACACGUGCUACAAUGGUAACUACAGAGGGAAGCUAUCUGGUGACAGUGAGCAAAUCCUUAAAAGUUAUCCCAGUUCGGAUUGUACUCUGCAACUCGAGUACAUGAAGUUGGAAUCGCUAGUAAUCGCGUAA
Molecule: ribosomal RNA, 427 nt
Filed under: uncultured bacterium
Lineage: Bacteria
Description: bacterial SSU rRNA
Rfam family: Bacterial small subunit ribosomal RNA
Source: RNAcentral